AUAUUCCCUAGGCAACACUGCAUUCAUAUUCCCUAGGUAACACUGCAUUCAUAUUCCCUAGGCAACACUGCAUUCAUAUUCCCUAGGUAACACUGCAUUCAUAUUCCCUAGGUAACACUGCAGUCAUAUUCCCUAGGCAACACUGCAUUCAUAUUCCCUAGGUAACACUGCAGUCAUAUUCCCUAGGUAACACUGCAUUCAUAUUCCCUAGGUAACACUGCAUUCAUAUUCCCUAGGUAACACUGCAUUCAUAUUCCCUAGGUAACACUGCAGUCAUAUUCCCUAGGUAACACUGCAUUCAUAUUCCCUAGGUAACACUGCAGUCAUAUUCCCUAGGUAACACUGCAGUCAUAUUCCCUAGGUAACACUGCAUUCAUAUUCCCUAGGUAACACUGCAGUCAUAUUCCCUAGGUAACACUGCAUUCAUAUUCCCUAGGUAACACUGCAGUCAUAUUCCCUAGGUAACACUGCAUUCAUAUUCCCUAGGUAACACUGCAGUCAUAUUCCCUAGGUAACACUGCAUUCAUAUUCCCUAGGUAGCACUGCAUUCAUAUUCACUCAAGUAGAUGUCCCUGAAGCGAUCCCAACACAUACAGAUGUGAUGUCUUAAUUCGACCAGCUUCUCACCGCAAAACAAAAAAAUCCCUACAGAAACAGGAAAUGAUUAUGAUAAUUAUUAUAAUUAAUGGAUGUUUUUGUGGCCCUUUCUCCUUUUUCUCCGUUCGGGAAAAUCAAGUCUGACGUUUUAAAGUGGAAGAUAGAAACUUUAAAAGCCUUUUUAAAACCUUGAAUACAUAACAAGUUUCCAUUUCCUGCGGAACGACGACGGAGUGAUCAGGACAUCUGUAGUAACGACAUGAAAGACAUUCUAAAAGUGUAAAAGGCUCGUUUUCCGGUUGAAUGACUUUGUUUUCAGUAAUCCCAACAUGUUUUAUCUUCAGAGUUUGUAAUUUACCAUCAACUGCUGUGAAGCUCAGAGGAAACCUCAUGUAAUUGCCUCUGUAUCUGCAGUCUCUCUGGCUGUAAACUCACAGAAGCAUCCUGUGAAGUGUUGGCCUCAGCUCUCAGUUCCUCCUCACACCUGAGAGAGCUGGAUCUGAGUAACAAUGACCUGCUGGAUUCAGGAGUGAAGCUGCUCUCUGCUGGACGGGGGGAUUCACCAUGUAAACUGGAGAUACUGAGGUUGGCAUUCUGUGAAGUCACAGAGGAAGGCUGUGCUUCUCUGGCCUCAGCUCUGAAGUCAAACCCUUCACACCUGAGAGCUGGAUCUGAGUUACAAUCACCCAGGAGACUCGGGAGUCAGACUGCUCUCUGCUGGACUGGAGGAUCCACACUGCAGACUGGAGAAACUCAAUGUGGAACAUGGAGGACAGUACACAAUUAAACACGGGCUUAGAAAAUGUGAGUGUUGACUGCUGCGAAGAAGAAAUCCUGUUAGUUUUAUUUUAAGUUGACUCGAAGAAAGAUCGUUUUUCAGAGCGUGUGUGUGUGUGUGUGUGUGUGGUUACACUAACAGGACCUCGCUCUGUUGGGAAUAUUGAUUGGUGUGUUAUGAGGUUAUGAUCAUACAGUAUAACAUUAUAUAUCAUUCAACAAAUCUGACUUAACCUUUUCCCUUGGCUCUUUAAUACCGAGAAACAUUAUCAUUCUGAUGGGGCUCUUUAACACCUAGAAACAUUAUAAUUCUGAUGGGGCUCUUAAAUACCUAGAAACAUUAUCAUUCUGAUGGUGCUCUUUAACACCUAGAAACAUUAUCAUUCUGAUGGGGCUCUUUAAUACCUAGAAACAUUAUCAUUCUGAUGGGGCUCUUUAACACCUAGAAACAUCAUUCUGAUGGGGCUCUUUAACACCUAGAAACAUUAUCAUUCUGAUGGGGCUCUUUAAUACCUAGAAACAUUAUCAUUCUGAUGGGACUCUUUAAUACCGAGAAACAUUAUCAUUCUGAUGGGUCUCUUUAACGCCUAGAAACAUUAUCAUUCUGAUGGGGCUCUUUAAUACCUAGA
This is a long non-coding RNA of Oncorhynchus keta (chum salmon), 2003 nucleotides long. RefSeq lists it as uncharacterized. The record is from RefSeq and is a predicted model, not a curated record. The transcript has 4 exons. NCBI's taxonomy places the organism in Eukaryota, Metazoa, Chordata, Actinopteri, Salmoniformes, Salmonidae.